Molecule: long non-coding RNA, 522 nt
Filed under: Ananas comosus (pineapple)
Lineage: Eukaryota; Viridiplantae; Streptophyta; Magnoliopsida; Poales; Bromeliaceae
Description: long non-coding RNA (ACOM_LNC021934)
Source: RNAcentral
AAUGAAGCAUAAUAUAUAUAUAGAGAGAGAGAGAGUAUGUUUCAUGUGUUUUCCAAACUAUGAAUGUUUUUGUUCUUUUAAAUUAUUUUUAAUGUUGGGACAUACGAUUCGAUUCGAUGAUCGACUAUAUUAGGCAUAACUUAUAUUUCUAGAACCGUCUAGAAAUAAAAUUUUAUAAUUUUUUAACCUUAUUUAUCAAAUAAUCGGUCUAAAAAAUAACUAUUUUAAUGAUUAACGUGACAAAUUUGCAAGUUCAAGGCAUUAAACAAUUGAAAUUGGGUGGUUGUUUUUCUAAAAAAAUAUAAUUACCAUCACGAGCAAGAUUAAUAGUUCCGAUUUAAAAUUUAAGUCACUAUUUUUUAUAGAAUUUUAUUUUUAACCGUUCAUUUUGAGAUUAUUAGUUUACCAAGUAAACGAAAUCAAAAAAAUAUAAAAUUUAGUUUUUAGAAAGUUAUAAUUAUAAAAUUAUAAAAUUAUAAAAUCGGAUAUUGACAAGAAAGUUUUUCUAAAGAAAAAAUAAUU